GAUGAACGCUGGCGGCGUGCCUAAUACAUGCAAGUCGAGCGAACAGACGAGGAGCUUGCUCCUCUGACGUUAGCGGCGGACGGGUGAGUAACACGUGGAUAACCUACCUAUAAGACUGGGAUAACUUCGGGAAACCGGAGCUAAUACCGGAUAAUAUAUUGAACCGCAUGGCUCAAUAGUGAAAGACGGUUUUGCUGUCACUUAUAGAUGGAUCCGCGCCGCAUUAGCUAGUUGGUAAGGUAACGGCUUACCAAGGCAACGAUGCGUAGCCGACCUGAGAGGGUGAUCGGCCACACUGGAACUGAGACACGGUCCAGACUCCUACGGGAGGCAGCAGUAGGGAAUCUUCCGCAAUGGGCGAAAGCCUGACGGAGCAACGCCGCGUGAAUGAUGAAGGUCUUCGGAUCGUAAAACUCUGUUAUUAGGGAAGAACAAAUGUGUAAGUAACUAUGCACGUCUUGACGGUACCUAAUCAGAAAGCCACGGCUAACUACGUG
Molecule: ribosomal RNA, 497 nt
Filed under: uncultured bacterium
Lineage: Bacteria
Description: partial 16S ribosomal RNA
Rfam family: Bacterial small subunit ribosomal RNA
Source: RNAcentral